CGGAGCUUGCUCCACCGGAAAAAGAAGAGUGGCGAACGGGUGAGUAACACGUGGGUAACCUGCCCAUCAGAAGGGGAUAACACUUGGAAACAGGUGCUAAUACCGUAUAACAAUCGAAACCGCAUGGUUUUGAUUUGAAAGGCGCUUUCGGGUGUCGCUGAUGGAUGGACCCGCGGUGCAUUAGCUAGUUGGUGAGGUAACGGCUCACCAAGGCCACGAUGCAUAGCCGACCUGAGAGGGUGAUCGGCCACAUUGGGACUGAGACACGGCCCAAACUCCUACGGGAGGCAGCAGUAGGGAAUCUUCGGCAAUGGACGAAAGUCUGACCGAGCAACGCCGCGUGAGUGAAGAAGGUUUUCGGAUCGUAAAACUCUGUUGUUAGAGAAGAACAAGGAUGAGAGUAACUGUUCAUCCCUUGACGGUAUCUAACCAGAAAGCCACGGCUAACUACGUGCCAGCAGCCGCGGUAAUACGUAGGUGGCAAGCGUUGUCCGGAUUUAUUGGGCGUAAAGCGAGCGCAGGCGGUUUCUUAAGUCUGAUGUGAAAGCCCCCGGCUCAACCGGGGAGGGUCAUUGGAAACUGGGAGACUUGAGUGCAGAAGAGGAGAGUGGAAUUCCAUGUGUAGCGGUGAAAUGCGUAGAUAUAUGGAGGAACACCAGUGGCGAAGGCGGCUCUCUGGUCUGUAACUGACGCUGAGGCUCGAAAGCGUGGGGAGCAAACAGGAUUAGAUACCCUGGUAGUCCACGCCGUAAACGAUGAGUGCUAAGUGUUGGAGGGUUUCCGCCCUUCAGUGCUGCAGCUAACGCAUUAAGCACUCCGCCUGGGGAGUACGACCGCAAGGUUGAAACUCAAAGGAAUUGACGGGGGCCCGCACAAGCGGUGGAGCAUGUGGUUUAAUUCGAAGCAACGCGAAGAACCUUACCAGGUCUUGACAUCCUUUGACCACUCUAGAGAUAGAGCUUCCCCUUCGGGGGCAAAGUGACAGGUGGUGCAUGGUUGUCGUCAGCUCGUGUCGUGAGAUGUUGGGUUAAGUCCCGCAACGAGCGCAACCCUUAUUGUUAGUUGCCAUCAUUCAGUUGGGCACUCUAGCAAGACUGCCGGUGACAAACCGGAGGAAGGUGGGGAUGACGUCAAAUCAUCAUGCCCCUUAUGACCUGGGCUACACACGUGCUACAAUGGGAAGUACAACGAGUCGCGAAGUCGCGAGGCUAAGCUAAUCUCUUAAAGCUUCUCUCAGUUCGGAUUGUAGGCUGCAACUCGCCUACAUGAAGCCGGAAUCGCUAGUAAUCGCGGAUCAGCACGCCGCGGUGAAUACGUUCCCGGGCCUUGUACACACCGCCCGUCACACCACGAGAGUUUGUAACACCCGAAGUCGGUGAGGAACCUUUGGAGCCAGC
RNAcentral lists this ribosomal RNA (1397 nucleotides) under Enterococcus durans. Its description in RNAcentral is "bacterial SSU rRNA". It matches the Rfam family "Bacterial small subunit ribosomal RNA". The record is from RNAcentral. Lineage: Bacteria; Bacillati; Bacillota; Bacilli; Lactobacillales; Enterococcaceae.